AUACGGAGGAUCCGAGCGUUAUCCGGAUUUAUUGGGCUUAAAGGGAGCGUAGGUGGACAGUUAAGUCAGUUGUGAAAGUUUGCGGCUCAACCGUAAAAUUGCAGUUGAUACUGGCUGUCUUGAGUACAGUAGAGGUGGGUGGAAUUCCUGGUGUAGCGGUGGAAUGCUUAGAUAUCACGAAGAACUCCGAUUGCGAAGGCAGCUCACUGGACUGCAACUGACACUGAUGCUCGAAAGUGUGGGUAUCAAACAGGAUUAGAUACCCUGGUAGUCCACACAGUAAACGAUGAAUACUCGCUGUUUGCGAUAUACAGUAAGCGGCCAAGCGAAAGCAUUAAGUAUUCCACCUGGGGAGUACGCCGGCAACGGUGAAACUCAAAUGAAUUGACGGGG
This 393-nucleotide ribosomal RNA is filed under the name uncultured bacterium. RNAcentral's name for it is "partial 16S ribosomal RNA". It matches the Rfam family "Bacterial small subunit ribosomal RNA", at positions 523 to 918 of the family's 1533-position model. The record is from RNAcentral.